This is a long non-coding RNA of Homo sapiens (human), 305 nucleotides long. RefSeq lists it as uncharacterized. The record is from RefSeq and is a predicted model, not a curated record. NCBI's taxonomy places the organism in Eukaryota, Metazoa, Chordata, Mammalia, Primates, Hominidae. The transcript is spliced from 3 exons.
CUGGCUCACUCUUGAAUUCCUUCCUGAGUGAAGCCUAAAACCUGCCCUACAUGACUUCUGCUAUACAUUUCAUCUCCGGACUGUUUGUGGCAAAUUGAUUGAAAUUAAGGUUAUUAAAGAACUGGACCCUCCGUUAUGAAACGUCUCAAAGUAGCACUGUAAUUCCUCUCUUACGUAUGGCAACUGGCAAUGUUAAACAUCAGGACUGUCUCCAUAUUGCAUUUUAUGGAUGCAGGCAGAAGACACAAGACUCCUGGGUCAGAGACAAAGGGCAUUAUUUCUCAGGACACAGGAAGCAUCAUGAG